UUUUUCUUAUGAAGUCAUUAGGUUUUUACCUCCUCACACACCAUUUUUAAUUGUAUUCUCCCGUAAGGAUGUAUUAAGAUAAAAUGAAAGAAGAGGGCCCUCAAACAUUUAUUCAGGACUUUCGUCCAGGCAUGAAGAGGAUCAAUUGCAGAAUGAUUGUUUUAGAAAAAACUGAGUUGGCACCCACUCGCUCUGGAAGACUAUUUCAGUUUUUAGUUGCAGACAACUCAGCUUCUAUAUUUUUUUCAGUUUUUGAUGAACUCGGAGAGGCUAUUGAAACUGGGGAUAUUUUAUCUCUCCA
Zophobas morio is the source of this 301-nucleotide long non-coding RNA. RefSeq lists it as uncharacterized. The transcript is spliced from 3 exons. The record is from RefSeq and is a predicted model, not a curated record. Lineage: Eukaryota; Metazoa; Arthropoda; Insecta; Coleoptera; Tenebrionidae.